Molecule: ribosomal RNA, 440 nt
Filed under: uncultured bacterium
Lineage: Bacteria
Description: bacterial SSU rRNA
Rfam family: Bacterial small subunit ribosomal RNA
Source: RNAcentral
AACGCGAAGAACCUUACCAACCCUUGACAUGUCCCGUAUGGGUUCAGAGAUGAGAUCCUUCAGUUCGGCUGGCGGGAACACAGGUGCUGCAUGGCUGUCGUCAGCUCGUGUCGUGAGAUGUUGGGUUAAGUCCCGCAACGAGCGCAACCCUUGUCCUUAGUUGCCAUCAUUAAGUUGGGAACUCUAAGGAGACCGCCGGUGACAAACCGGAGGAAGGUGGGGAUGACGUCAAGUCAUCAUGGCCUUUAUGACCAGGGCUACACACGUGCUACAAUGGCCGGUACAAAGGGCUGCGAUACCGUGAGGUGGAGCGAAUCCCAAAAAGCCGGUCUCAGUUCGGAUCGGGGUCUGCAACUCGACCCCGUGAAGUCGGAGUCGCUAGUAAUCGCAGAUCAGCAACGCUGCGGUGAAUACGUUCCCGGGUCUUGUACACACCGCCU